This 253-nucleotide ribosomal RNA is filed under the name uncultured bacterium. RNAcentral describes it as "partial 16S ribosomal RNA". It matches the Rfam family "Bacterial small subunit ribosomal RNA", at positions 524 to 776 of the family's 1533-position model. The record is from RNAcentral.
UACGGGGGGGGCAAGCGUUGUUCGGAAUUACUGGGCGUAAAGGGCUCGUAGGUGGCCAACUAAGUCAGACGUGAAAUCCCUCGGCUUAACCGGGGAACUGCGUCUGAUACUGGAUGGCUUGAGUUUGGGAGAGGGAUGCGGAAUUCCAGGUGUAGCGGUGAAAUGCGUAGAUAUCUGGAGGAACACCGGUGGCGAAGGCGGCGUCCUGGACCAACACUGACACUGAGGAGCGAAAGCCAGGGGAGCAAACGGG